GAGAUCUACCCAUGCGAGUGGAACGUCCUCCUGUUGCGGGGGGCGUCGCACACGGCUCAGUAACACGUAGUCAACCUGCCCUGGAUACACGGACAACCCCGGGCAAACUGGGAUUAAUCCAUGAUAGGCCACCACAUCUGGAAGGAGUGAUGGCCCAAAGGGGCGCGGAGGCUUCUUCUUCGCGCUUGCUCCACCAUGGGACUGCGGCCGAUCAGGCUGUUGGCGGUGUAAUGGACCACCAAACCUGUAACCGGUACGGGCUUUGAGAGAAGGAGCCCGGAGAUGGACACUGAUACAAGGGUCCAGGUCCUACGGGGCGCAGCAUGCGCGGAACCUUCGCAAUGCGCGAAAGCGUGACGAGGUUAGUCCGACUGGCCUCCGCUGAGGAGGUCUUCUGUUAGCUGUAAUAAGGCUAUAGAAUAAGGGGAGGGCAAGCCUGCUGUCAGACGA
This 450-nucleotide ribosomal RNA is filed under the name uncultured archaeon. Its description in RNAcentral is "bacterial SSU rRNA". It matches the Rfam family "Archaeal small subunit ribosomal RNA", at positions 40 to 465 of the family's 1478-position model. The record is from RNAcentral.